UCUGGACUGUGGCCAUGUUACCCCUCCUCUGGGGAAGUACAGGGGCCUGAAGAGUGCACUGCCAGCACCCAUGGGUGCUCCUGCUGGAGCUUGGACACAGGGUCUUUGCCAGCUGCGAGUACCAGCAUUGCAAGCUCUGUUGUGGGAGGUUACAUUCAUAGCUCGGGAAGCUGCAGAUACCACUGGUAGCUCAGCAGGACCCUCCUGGUGGCCACUCCAACAAGGUGAGCUUGAUGGACUGCUGAUCUCUACCUUGGCCUUCUGCUCCUGCCAUCACCUGAGGAUGCCCAUGUGUGUGUGACCACUUAUGGCCUGCAUCUCCCUGUGUUGACACCUGACCUUCCACAUGUCCUGGCAUCACGUGAGGAUGCUCACAGAUCAGUCUGCUGGUCCAGGAGGAAAGCU
Ochotona princeps (American pika) is the source of this 405-nucleotide long non-coding RNA. RefSeq lists it as uncharacterized. The transcript has 3 exons. The record is from RefSeq and is a predicted model, not a curated record. NCBI's taxonomy places the organism in Eukaryota, Metazoa, Chordata, Mammalia, Lagomorpha, Ochotonidae.